RNAcentral lists this ribosomal RNA (253 nucleotides) under uncultured bacterium. RNAcentral's name for it is "partial 16S ribosomal RNA". It matches the Rfam family "Bacterial small subunit ribosomal RNA", at positions 524 to 776 of the family's 1533-position model. The record is from RNAcentral.
AACGGGAAGGGCGAGCGUUUUUCGUAAUUAAUGGGCGUAAAGGGUACGCAGGCGGUUGUUGGCAGUGAAUCCGGAAAACCCAGGGUCUAACUCCGGCAAAGGAUUUAAACGCAACAACUAGAGUCAUGAAGAGGAUAGUAGUACUUUUAAAGUAGAGAUGAAAAACGUCGAUAUUAAAAAGACUCCCAAAAGCGAAGGCAACUAUCCAUCAAUGAACUGACGCUAAGGUACGAAGGCAUGGGGAUCAAAUCGG